RNAcentral lists this ribosomal RNA (494 nucleotides) under uncultured bacterium. RNAcentral describes it as "partial 16S ribosomal RNA". It matches the Rfam family "Bacterial small subunit ribosomal RNA", at positions 28 to 507 of the family's 1533-position model. The record is from RNAcentral.
GACGAACGCUGGCGGCGUGCUUAACACAUGCAAGUCGAACGGUGAAGCGCCUUCCUUUUUGGUGGGUGUGGAUGAGUGGCGAACGGGUGAGUAACACGUGAGUAACCUGCCCCCUUCUUCUGGAUAACCGCAUGAAAGUGUGGCUAAUACGGGAUAUUCUGGGUCUGUCGCAUGAUGGGUCUGGGAAAGAUAUUGUUUCGGUGGGGGAUGGGCUCGCGGCCUAUCAGCUUGUUGGUGGGGUGAUGGCCUACCAAGGCGGUGACGGGUAGCCGGCCUGGGAGGGUGGACGGUCACACUGGGACUGAGACACGGCCCAGACUCCUACGGGAGGCAGCAGCGGGGAAUAUUGCACAAUGGGCGCAAGCCUGAUGCAGCGACGCCGCGUGAGGGAUGGAGGCCUUCGGGUUGUGAACCUCUUUCGCCAGUGAAGCAGGCCUGCCUCGUUUGUGGGUGGGUUGACGGUAGCUGGAUAAGAAGCGCCGGCUAACUACGUG